UAUAUUUCAGACGAGAAUACGACAAGCUAUAAGUUUUUGUACCUAAGAGAGGCAAUACGUUUAUCAUUUUCUAAGUCAUGAAGUGUGGUGUUUCGUUUAUGGUUUAUUGUAUUCUCGCAUACCUUGUUUUAAGCCAUGUUAAAGAAGUAGAAUCCAAGGGAAAAAGGCUGUGCGAAUUCAAGAAAUCUUUUCGUGGAAAAUGCGGAAAGAAUGGAAUAUUCACAUGCUUGAACGACUUUAUCAAUCUGUCUAACAUGCCAAAAAAUAUGCGCGUAGGAAAUUUCAGAUGUUUUGAUGUUCCACUUUCUCCCGACCAUAUGUGUAAAUAUUUUCACGAAUGCUGAGCUUUAUCUCUCUAUAAUUAAAUUCUCUUCACCAAUGAAUAAUAGUAUAGAAGAUAUAAAGUUAUAACGCUUUUUGGAUUCUUCCUUA
Molecule: long non-coding RNA, 432 nt
Organism: Arabidopsis lyrata subsp. lyrata
Lineage: Eukaryota; Viridiplantae; Streptophyta; Magnoliopsida; Brassicales; Brassicaceae
Exons: 2
Source: RefSeq, a predicted model, not a curated record